Molecule: ribosomal RNA, 440 nt
Filed under: uncultured bacterium
Lineage: Bacteria
Description: partial 16S ribosomal RNA
Rfam family: Bacterial small subunit ribosomal RNA
Source: RNAcentral
ACUACGGGAGGCAGCAGUGGGGAAUAUUGCACAAUGGGGGAAACCCUGAUGCAGCGACGCCGCGUGAGUGACGAAGUAUCUCGGUACGUAACGCUCUAUCUGCAGGGAAGAAAAUGACGGUACCUGACUAAGAAGCCCCGUCCAACUACGUGCCAGCAGCCGCGGUAAUACGUAGGGGGCAGGCGUUCUCCGGAUUUAUUGGGAGUAAAGGGAGCGUAGACGGGAGCCAAAGUCUGGAGUGAAAUCCCGGGGAUGAACCCCGGAACUGCUUUGGAAACUGGGCGGCUGGAGUGGAGGAGGGGUAAGCGGAAUUCGUGGUGUAGCGGUGAAAUGCGUAGAUAUGAGGAGGAACACCGGUGGCGAAGGCGGCUUACUGGACCGUAACUGACGUUGAGGCUCGAAAGCGUGGGGAGCAAACAGGAUUAGAUACCCCUGUAGUC